RNAcentral lists this non-coding RNA (26 nucleotides) under Homo sapiens (human). The record is from RNAcentral. Lineage: Eukaryota; Metazoa; Chordata; Mammalia; Primates; Hominidae.
UUACAAAAGAGGGAGCAGCAAUGGCC